RNAcentral lists this ribosomal RNA (632 nucleotides) under Escherichia coli. Its description in RNAcentral is "partial 23S ribosomal RNA". It matches the Rfam family "Bacterial large subunit ribosomal RNA", at positions 1273 to 1890 of the family's 2925-position model. The record is from RNAcentral. Lineage: Bacteria; Pseudomonadati; Pseudomonadota; Gammaproteobacteria; Enterobacterales; Enterobacteriaceae.
CUGGAGGUAUCAGAAGUGCGAAUGCUGACAUAAGUAACGAUAAAGCGGGUGAAAAGCCCGCUCGCCGGAAGACCAAGGGUUCCUGUCCAACGUUAAUCGGGGCAGGGUGAGUCGACCCCUAAGGCGAGGCCGAAAGGCGUAGUCGAUGGGAAACAGGUUAAUAUUCCUGUACUUGGUGUUACUGCGAAGGGGGGACGGAGAAGGCUAUGUUGGCCGGGCGACGGUUGUCCCGGUUUAAGCGUGUAGGCUGGUUUUCCAGGCAAAUCCGGAAAAUCAAGGCUGAGGCGUGAUGACGAGGCACUACGGUGCUGAAGCAACAAAUGCCCUGCUUCCAGGAAAAGCCUCUAAGCAUCAGGUAACAUCAAAUCGUACCCCAAACCGACACAGGUGGUCAGGUAGAGAAUACCAAGGCGCUUGAGAGAACUCGGGUGAAGGAACUAGGCAAAAUGGUGCCGUAACUUCGGGAGAAGGCACGCUGAUAUGUAGGUGAAGUCCCUCGCGGAUGGAGCUGAAAUCAGUCGAAGAUACCAGCUGGCUGCAACUGUUUAUUAAAAACACAGCACUGUGCAAACACGAAAGUGGACGUAUACGGUGUGACGCCUGCCCGGUGCCGGAAGGUUAAUUGAUGGGGU